GAUGAACGCUGGCGGCGUGCCUAAUACAUGCAAGUCGAGCGAACGGACGAGAAGCUUGCUUCUCUGAUGUUAGCGGCGGACGGGUGAGUAACACGUGGAUAACCUACCUAUAAGACUGGGAUAACUUCGGGAAACCGGAGCUAAUACCGGAUAAUAUUUUGAACCGCAUGGUUCAAAAGUGAAAGACGGUCUUGCUGUCACUUAUAGAUGGAUCCGCGCCGCAUUAGCUAGUUGGUAAGGUAACGGCUUACCAAGGCAACGAUGCAUAGCCGACCUGAGAGGGUGAUCGGCCACACUGGAACUGAGACACGGUCCAGACUCCUACGGGAGGCAGCAGUAGGGAAUCUUCCGCAAUGGGCGAAAGCCUGACGGAGCAACGCCGCGUGAGUGAUGAAGGUCUUCGGAUCGUAAAACUCUGUUAUUAGGGAAGAACAUAUGUGUAAGUAACUGUGCACAUCUUGACGGUACCUAAUCAGAAAGCCACGGCUAACUACGUGCCAGCAGCCGCGGUAAUACGUAGGUGGCAAGCGUUAUCCGGAAUUAUUGGGCGUAAAGCGCGCGUAGGCGGUUUUUUAAGUCUGAUGUGAAAGCCCACGGCUCGACCGUGGAGGGUCAUUGGAAACUGGAAAACUUGAGUGCAGAAGAGGAAAGUGGAAUUCCAUGUGUAGCGGUGAAAUGCGCAGAGAUAUGGAGGAACACCAGUGGCGAAGGCGACUUUCUGGUCUGUAACUGACGCUGAUGUGCGAAAGCGUGGGGAUCAAACAGGAUUAGAUACCCUGGUAGUCCACGCCGUAAACGAUGAGUGCUAAGUGUUAGGGGGUUUCCGCCCCUUAGUGCUGCAGCUAACGCAUUAAGCACUCCGCCUGGGGAGUACGACCGCAAGGUUGAAACUCAAAGGAAUUGACGGGGACCCGCACAAGCGGUGGAGCAUGUGGUUUAAUUCGAAGCAACGCGAAGAACCUUACCAAAUCUUGACAUCCUUUGACAACUCUAGAGAUAGAGCCUUCCCCUUCGGGGGACAAAGUGACAGGUGGUGCAUGGUUGUCGUCAGCUCGUGUCGUGAGAUGUUGGGUUAAGUCCCGCAACGAGCGCAACCCUUAAGCUUAGUUGCCAUCAUUAAGUUGGGCACUCUAAGUUGACUGCCGGUGACAAACCGGAGGAAGGUGGGGAUGACGUCAAAUCAUCAUGCCCCUUAUGAUUUGGGCUACACACGUGCUACAAUGGACAAUACAAAGGGCAGCGAAACCGCGAGGUCAAGCAAAUCCCAUAAAGUUGUUCUCAGUUCGGAUUGUAGUCUGCAACUCGACUACAUGAAGCUGGAAUCGCUAGUAAUCGUAGAUCAGCAUGCUACGGUGAAUACGUUCCCGGGUCU
RNAcentral lists this ribosomal RNA (1372 nucleotides) under uncultured bacterium. RNAcentral describes it as "bacterial SSU rRNA". It matches the Rfam family "Bacterial small subunit ribosomal RNA", at positions 28 to 1381 of the family's 1533-position model. The record is from RNAcentral.